Molecule: ribosomal RNA, 958 nt
Filed under: Cellulomonas sp.
Lineage: Bacteria; Bacillati; Actinomycetota; Actinomycetes; Micrococcales; Cellulomonadaceae
Description: bacterial SSU rRNA
Source: RNAcentral
UGCAGUCGACGGUGACGACGAGCUUGCUGGUCUGAUCAGUGGCGAACGGGUGAGUAACACGUGAGCAACCUGCCCUUCACUCUGGGAUAACCACGGGAAACGGUGGCUAAUACCGGAUAUGAGACGUGCCUGCAUGGGUGGCGUCUGGAAAGAUUUAUCGGUGAGGGAUGGGCUCGCGGCCUAUCAGCUUGUUGGUGGGGUAAUGGCCUACCAAGGCGACGACGGGUAGCCGGCCUGAGAGGGCGACCGGCCACACUGGGACUGAGACACGGCCCAGACUCCUACGGGAGGCAGCAGUGGGGAAUAUUGCACAAUGGGCGCAAGCCUGAUGCAGCGACGCCGCGUGAGGGAUGACGGCCUUCGGGUUGUAAACCUCUUUCAGCAGGGAAGAAGCGAAAGUGACGGUACCUGCAGAAGAAGCGCCGGCUAACUACGUGCCAGCAGCCGCGGUAAUACGUAGGGCGCAAGCGUUGUCCGGAAUUAUUGGGCGUAAAGAGCUCGUAGGCGGUUUGUCGCGUCUGCUGUGAAAACCUGAGGCUCAACCUCGGGCUUGCAGUGGGUACGGGCAGACUAGAGUGCGGUAGGGGUGACUGGAAUUCCUGGUGUAGCGGUGGAAUGCGCAGAUAUCAGGAGGAACACCGAUGGCGAAGGCAGGUCACUGGGCCGCAACUGACGCUGAGGAGCGAAAGCAUGGGGAGCGAACAGGAUUAGAUACCCUGGUAGUCCAUGCCGUAAACGUUGGGCACUAGGUGUGGGGCUCAUUCCACGAGUUCCGUGCCGCAGCAAACGCAUUAAGUGCCCCGCCUGGGGAGUACGGCCGCAAGGCUAAAACUCAAAGAAAUUGACGGGGGCCCGCACAAGCGGCGGAGCAUGCGGAUUAAUUCGAUGCAACGCGAAGAACCUUACCAAGGCUUGACAUACACCGGAAACUUCCAGAAAUGGUUGCCCCSCAAGGUCG